Molecule: ribosomal RNA, 492 nt
Filed under: uncultured bacterium
Lineage: Bacteria
Description: partial 16S ribosomal RNA
Rfam family: Bacterial small subunit ribosomal RNA
Source: RNAcentral
AGUGAACGCUGGCGGUAGGCCUAACACAUGCAAGUCGAACGGCAGCACAGUAAGAGCUUGCUCUUACGGGUGGCGAGUGGCGGACGGGUGAGGAAUACAUCGGAAUCUACUUUUUCGUGGGGGAUAACGUAGGGAAACUUACGCUAAUACCGCAUACGACCUACGGGUGAAAGCAGUGGAUCUUCGGACUUUGCGCGAUUGAAUGAGCCGAUGUCGGAUUAGCUAGUUGGCGGGGUAAAGGCCCACCAAGGCGACGAUCCGUAGCUGGUCUGAGAGGAUGAUCAGCCACACUGGAACUGAGACACGGUCCAGACUCCUACGGGAGGCAGCAGUGGGGAAUAUUGGACAAUGGGCGAAAGCCUGAUCCAGCCAUACCGCGUGGGUGAAGAAGGCCUUCGGGUUGUAAAGCCCUUUUGUUGGGAAAGAAAAGCAGCAGGUUAAUACCCCGCUGUUCUGACGGUACCCAAAGAAUAAGCACCGGCUAACUUCGUG